This 193-nucleotide ribosomal RNA is filed under the name uncultured Enterobacter sp. RNAcentral describes it as "partial 16S ribosomal RNA". It matches the Rfam family "Bacterial small subunit ribosomal RNA", at positions 338 to 523 of the family's 1533-position model. The record is from RNAcentral. Lineage: Bacteria; Pseudomonadati; Pseudomonadota; Gammaproteobacteria; Enterobacterales; Enterobacteriaceae.
CCUUAGGGAGGCAGCAGUGGGGAAUAUUGCACAAUGGGCGCAAGCCUGAUGCAGCCAUGCCGCGUGUAUGAAGAAGGCCUUCGGGUUGUAAAGUACUUUCAGCGGGGAGGAAGGCGUUGAGGUUAAUAACCUCAGCGAUUGACGUUACCCGCAGAAGAAGCACCGGCUAACUCCGUGCCAGCAGCCGCGGUAA